This is a long non-coding RNA of Austrofundulus limnaeus, 695 nucleotides long. RefSeq lists it as uncharacterized. The record is from RefSeq and is a predicted model, not a curated record. The transcript has 3 exons. NCBI's taxonomy places the organism in Eukaryota, Metazoa, Chordata, Actinopteri, Cyprinodontiformes, Rivulidae.
ACAUGAUGAGUCAGAGGUUCUAUAACAUGAUGAGUCAGAGGUUCUAUAACAUGAUGAGUCAGAGGUUCUAUAACAUGAUGAGUCAGAGGUUCUAUAACAUGAUGAGUCAGAGGUUCAAUAAUGUGACGAGUCAGAGGUUCUAAAACAAGAUGAGUCAGAGGUUCUAUAACAUGACGAGUCAGAGGUUCAAUAACAUGAUGAGUCAGAGGUUCUAAAACAUGAUGAGUCAGAGGUUCUAAAACAUGACGGGUCAGAGGUUCUAUAACAUGAUGAGUCAGAGGUUCUAAAACAUGAUGAGUCAGAGGUUCUAAAACAUGACGGGUCAGAGGUUCUAUAACAUGAUGAGUCAGAGGUUCUAAAACAUGAUGAGUCAGAGGUUCUAAAACAUGACGGGUCAGAGGUUCUAUAACAUGAUGAGUCAGAGGUUCAUGAUGAGUCAGAGGUUCUAUAACAUGAUGAGUCAGAGGUUCUAUAACAUGAGUCAGAGGUUCUAUAACAUGAUGAGUCAGAGGUUCUAUAACAUGAGUCAGAGGUUCUAUAACAUGAUGAGUCAGAGGUUCUAUAACAUGAGUCAGAGGUUCUAUAACAUGAUGAGUCAGAGGUUCUAUAACAUGAGUCAGAGGUUCUAUAACAUGAUGAGUCAGAGGUUCAAUAAUAUGAGUCAGAGGUUCUAUAACAUGAUGAGUCAGAGGUUC